AACUCGAACGCCGCCAUGAAGAACCAGCGCGCUAAAAUGGUUGUCGUUUUAUUUUUAAAAUUACGUUUAAGCCACUAGCUUCUAUAUGAAUUUUCUUCGAGGUACACCCAUCAAGUUGCAAGUUCCAUCAGAAAUUCUGCUGAAAUCCAUCAGAGUUUGCAAGUUCCAUCACAGAUAAUAACAAUCGUCAGAGAUAAAGAAAAGAAAAAAAAUAAUUUUUUUUUUGGAUGUAUCCUAAUGAGAGAAUCUUCAGAAAAUGUGACUAGAGAGGAAGUUCGUCACGGAUUUUAUCAGUCUCGUUUUCAUCCUUCUUCCGCUCUUUCAUUUAUGCUAGAUCCGUUGAUAGAGAUGGAUGCUGUCGAGAUACGGAUGCUGUUUCCUAUGGAUGUCACGUUGGAAGAACGACUGCUGUUGUGACAGAAUGGGUUGCAGCGUUGGUAGGCAAAGUGUUUUAAAGGGCAAUAUCGAGCCACAAUUAUCUAAAAAUUUAACACCGCAACAAAUACAAUUAGUAAGAUCGACUUGGUCCAUAGUUUCGCAGGACAUGGUCGGCGUUGGAACCAUCGUGUUUCAAAGAUUUCUUACUAGGCAUCCGGAAUUAUGUAAAAUGUUUCGGAAGUUCAUGACCCUGAAGGAUGACGGAACGUACGACUGGGAUUUAGAAGAACUUCAACGCCAUGCUCUACUGGUUAUGCAAGCUUUAGAAGCGGCCAUAGAUAAUUUGGAUGAUAGUCGAGUGUUGGCUGGAAUUUUAUACGAUUUAGGAAGAAGGCACGCCAGAUACAACGUCCAGGAACAAAUGUUUGAUAAAUUGUGGGAAGCUUUGAGGUACGGACUAGAGAAAUCUCUCCAAAACAGGAUGACGAGGGAAGUGAACCAAGCUUGGUUUGCUGUGUUCAAAUACAUAUCGUGGCAAGUUAUUAAAGGUAUGAGGGACACUUACGCUAAAGGUAUAGACUAACCUUACUUGUCGUCGAGAAAUAAAUUCUGUACAAAAUUACAUUUUUAAUGUAUUAAAAAAAUAAAAAUUUCAAAGGUAAAAUGUGUGUCUUUGACCUCAUUUAUCUACUCGGAUUUCGAUGUUUUAACCACUUUUAUUUACCAUUUACCGGUGAAACCUAUGAUUUAUAGUCACGUAAUAAAGCUUCUACUGUGAUGUAACACGUGUUCGAAUGCAAAAACCCUAUCGACCAAUGGGUAUGGACCACUAAUUUUUAAAUGCUUGCCUCGUCGUGCCAUUUGUUUAACAUCAUCAUGAAUGAAGAGAACAAAAUGGCGACUUUUUCACGAUGAACUAUCUAGCGAUAUUGGAAGAGCAUUAUAAAAAAAGAAGAAAACUAUUCGGAAAGAUUAACGAAUAAUCAAGGAUUUUUGUAACUGCCACACACGAAAUCUUCCUCGCUCCUCGACGUUAUCAAAUCUCGAAGAGAAAAUUCACGGAAAACAGGAAGUGUGGCGGAGAAUGAGGGAUCGAUUUCUGUUACCAUGGCAACGACCUACAGGAAGGUCAAGCUAUAAGCUUACUUCAAGGUCAACAGUUGGGUAAUGAACUUGUUCGUGUUG
Molecule: RNA transcript, 1563 nt
Organism: Centruroides sculpturatus (bark scorpion)
Lineage: Eukaryota; Metazoa; Arthropoda; Arachnida; Scorpiones; Buthidae
Gene name: neuroglobin-like
Exons: 8
Source: RefSeq, a predicted model, not a curated record